Molecule: long non-coding RNA, 765 nt
Organism: Neofelis nebulosa (Clouded leopard)
Lineage: Eukaryota; Metazoa; Chordata; Mammalia; Carnivora; Felidae
Exons: 2
Source: RefSeq, a predicted model, not a curated record
CUUGUCAGGUAGCAAUUCUGCGAUGAAGUUUUCUACUGACACAGCAAUCUGUUUUUCAUGGAUCACUCCAGUUCGACGCAAACUAUCUAUCCGUUCCUGAGCGCCCUGAAUGACAAAGGCACAGCCUUAAAAUAAGCACCAAAAUGACGGCUGAUGUAUUUUUAACUGCAAAUGGAUAUACUGCACCAAGAUUUAUUCAGGAAAAUACCAUUUAUGCAACAAAACUGAGGGGCUGACAACGCUACAUAACUCAGUAUCAUCAAUACAUAUCUUACGAUACAAAACUACAAGUUAACAAUAAGACUGCUGUUUACCUACUUUCAUCUGAAUUACUUCAUAAACAGUGAUAAGGGAAGUGACAGGAAAUGUCUAAAAAGUUAGACAAAUGUGUUCUAAUUUUUAAUAAAACUUGCCAUGGAGAAUACAUUAACCUAUUUUUACUAUGGGUAACAGAGCUAAGUAGUGAUUAAGAAAAAGUGGUCAAUUCUUAUCAAAUGAAAAUUUAAAAGCAAGAGCACUUCUAGAGACAACUGAACUGCUUUUAGAGACAACAGAAAUAAAGAAACCGAUAACUACAAGAAAAUGGAUAAAUCAAUUUAAGACGUUAGCUUAUAAAGAUGGAUGAAAGAAUGUAUGAACAAAACUGUAAUAGUAUCAAGACUGUAUUUUUGCUUACUCUUAUCUCUCCAGUACCUCACAUAGUGUCGAACUACAUGAAAAAAUAAAGGAAGAAAUAAAGGGUUUCUUAAAAAUUUUUAUCACUCA